UUCCAAUUGAUGCAUUGAAAGCUUUUAAUGGAAUUCCAAUUGAUAACCGCAAGGAAAUGUUACAUCUCAUUGUGCCCGACUUUCCUUUUUAUUAAUGGUAUUGUGGAGUCCUUAAAGAAUAGUAUUGUCAACUACAAUGGACCUAUAUUUGACUUUUUUUUUGCUUGUGACAGUUUGAUGACUUAUGGACAUAUUGAUAGUUUGAUGACAAUUGUUUUGGUAAUUAAUUAUUAUUGUCAUUCUGGUGCUAUAAAGUGAAAGAUAAUGUUUUGGUGACUUA
Molecule: long non-coding RNA, 280 nt
Organism: Medicago truncatula (barrel medic)
Lineage: Eukaryota; Viridiplantae; Streptophyta; Magnoliopsida; Fabales; Fabaceae
Exons: 2
Source: RefSeq, a predicted model, not a curated record